This is a long non-coding RNA of Vicia villosa (hairy vetch), 282 nucleotides long. RefSeq lists it as uncharacterized. The record is from RefSeq and is a predicted model, not a curated record. NCBI's taxonomy places the organism in Eukaryota, Viridiplantae, Streptophyta, Magnoliopsida, Fabales, Fabaceae. The transcript has 3 exons.
GUUCAUGGUGACCAUGUUGCAAUGUCAAGCAAACAAACAUUAUAGCGGCAGAUUGGUUCGUCGUUCCUCACAGUGGUGGCAACUUGUCCAAGGUUUAAGGAAUAUAAAACUUCUCCAACUAUGGCCCUAACAUCAAGGGGAACGAGGCUCUAGUAAUCCACAGCUCGUGCCGAGAGGUCAUGACACUGGUUAAGUAUUGUUUCCACCAGAAAUUGAAUUUGGUAUUCUCUGAACCUUUAUUCUUUAGAAGGAGCUCGUUUACAACUCGAGCGCAAUUGCUUG